This 849-nucleotide ribosomal RNA is filed under the name uncultured bacterium. RNAcentral describes it as "bacterial SSU rRNA". It matches the Rfam family "Bacterial small subunit ribosomal RNA", at positions 57 to 914 of the family's 1533-position model. The record is from RNAcentral.
GCAGUCGAGGGGUAUAGUUCUUCGGGAUUAGAGACCGGCGCACGGGUGCGUAACGCGUAUGCAAUCUACCUUUCACAGAGGGAUAGCCCAGAGAAAUUUGGAUUAAUACCUCAUAGUAUAUGGACUUGGCAUCAAGAUCAUAUUAAAGUCACAACGGUGAAAGAUGAGCAUGCGUCCCAUUAGCUAGUUGGUAAGGUAACGGCUUACCAAGGCAACGAUGGGUAGGGGUCCUGAGAGGGAGAUCCCCCACACUGGUACUGAGACACGGACCAGACUCCUACGGGAGGCAGCAGUGAGGAAUAUUGGUCAAUGGGCGCAAGCCUGAACCAGCCAUGCCGCGUGCAGGAUGACGGUCCUAUGGAUUGUAAACUGCUUUUGUACGGGAAGAAACAGCGAUUCGUGAAUCGCCUUGACGGUACCGUAAGAAUAAGGAUCGGCUAACUCCGUGCCAGCAGCCGCGGUAAUACGGAGGAUCCAAGCGUUAUCCGGAAUCAUUGGGUUUAAAGGGUCCGUAGGCGGUUUGGUAAGUCAGUGGUGAAAGCCCAUCGCUCAACGGUGGAACGGCCAUUGAUACUGCCAGACUUGAAUUAUUAGGAAGUAACUAGAAUAUGUAGUGUAGCGGUGAAAUGCUUAGAGAUUACAUGGAAUACCAAUUGCGAAGGCAGGUUACUACUAAUGGAUUGACGCUGAUGGACGAAAGCGUGGGUAGCGAACAGGAUUAGAUACCCUGGUAGUCCACGCCCGUAACGAUGGAUACUAGCUGUUGGGAGCGAUCUCAGUGGCUAAGCGAAAGUGAUAAGUAUCCCACCUGGGGAGUACGUUCGCAAGAAUGAAACUCAAAGGAUUGAC